Hippopotamus amphibius kiboko is the source of this 102-nucleotide small nuclear RNA. The record is from RefSeq and is a predicted model, not a curated record. NCBI's taxonomy places the organism in Eukaryota, Metazoa, Chordata, Mammalia, Artiodactyla, Hippopotamidae.
UUGCUUUGGCAGCAUGUAUACUAAAAUUGGAACGAUACAGAGAAGACAACAUGGCCUCUGUGCAAGGACGACACUCAAAUUCGUGAAGCAUCCCAUAUUUUU